This 492-nucleotide ribosomal RNA is filed under the name uncultured bacterium. RNAcentral's name for it is "partial 16S ribosomal RNA". It matches the Rfam family "Bacterial small subunit ribosomal RNA", at positions 29 to 507 of the family's 1533-position model. The record is from RNAcentral.
AGUGAACGCUGGCGGUAGGCCUAACACAUGCCAGUCGAACGGCAGCACAGUAAGAGCUUGCUCUUACGGGUGGCGAGUGGCGGACGGGUGAGGAAUACAUCGGAAUCUACUUUUUCGUGGGGGAUAACGUAGGGAAACUUACGCUAAUACCGCAUACGACCUACGGGUGAAAGCAGGGGAUCUUCGGACCUUGCGCGAUUGAAUGAGCCGAUGUCGGAUUAGCUAGUUGGCGGGGUAAAGGCCCACCAAGGCGACGAUCCGUAGCUGGUCUGAGAGGAUGAUCAGGCACACUGGAAAUGGGACACGGUCCAGACUCCUACGGGAGGCAGCAGUGGGGAAUAUUGGACAAUGGGCGCAAGCCUGGUCCAGCCAUUCCGGGUGGGUUAAGAAGGGCUUCGGGUUGGUAAGCCCUUUUGUUGGGAAAGAAAAGCAGCAGGUUAAUACCCCGCUGUUCUGACGGUACCCAAAGAAUAAGCACCGGCUAACUUCGUG